AACGAACGCUGGCGGCAGGCCUAACACAUGCAAGUCGAACGCCCUAGCAAUAGGGAGUGGCGCACGGGUGCGUAACGCGUGGGAAUAUGCCCUUCACUGCGGAAUAACGUUUGGAAACGAACGCUAAUACCGCAUAAUGACUCCGGUCCAAAGAUUUAUCGGUGAAGGAUUAGCCCGCGUUAGAUUAGCUAGUUGGUGAGGUAAUGGCUCACCAAGGCGACGAUCUAUAGCUGGUCUGAGAGGAUGAUCAGCCACACUGGG
RNAcentral lists this ribosomal RNA (261 nucleotides) under uncultured bacterium. RNAcentral's name for it is "partial 16S ribosomal RNA". It matches the Rfam family "Bacterial small subunit ribosomal RNA", at positions 29 to 317 of the family's 1533-position model. The record is from RNAcentral.